GAUGAACGCUGGCGGCGUGCCUAAUACAUGCAAGUCGAGCGAACGGACGAGAAGCUUGCUUCUCUGAUGUUAGCGGCGGACGGGUGAGUAACACGUGGAUAACCUACCUAUAAGACUGGGAUAACUUCGGGAAACCGGAGCUAAUACCGGAUAAUAUUUUGAACCGCAUGGUUCAAAAGUGAAAGACGGUCUUGCUGUCACUUAUAGAUGGAUCCGCGCUGCAUUAGCUAGUUGGUAAGGUAACGGCUUACCAAGGCAACGAUGCAUAGCCGACCUGAGAGGGUGAUCGGCCACACUGGAACUGAGACGCGGUCCAGACUCCUACGGGAGGCAACAGUAGGGAAUCUUCCGCAAUGGGCGAAAGCCUGACGGAGCAACGCCGCGUGAGUGAUGAAGGUCUUCGGAUCGUAAAACUCUGUUAUUAGGGAAGAACAUAUGUGUAAGUAACUGUGCACAUCUUGACGGUACCUAAUCAGAAAGCCACGGCUAACUACGUG
This 497-nucleotide ribosomal RNA is filed under the name uncultured bacterium. Its description in RNAcentral is "partial 16S ribosomal RNA". It matches the Rfam family "Bacterial small subunit ribosomal RNA", at positions 28 to 507 of the family's 1533-position model. The record is from RNAcentral.